This 1297-nucleotide long non-coding RNA is filed under the name Mytilus galloprovincialis (Mediterranean mussel). The record is from RNAcentral. Lineage: Eukaryota; Metazoa; Mollusca; Bivalvia; Mytilida; Mytilidae.
AUUGUACCUUUUCUGUCCUGCUGUCUGUUGAAGGUACUGUCGAUGUUCUCUGCUGGUUUUGAUUCCAUUGCUCCUCCUCAAUGUUGAUCUGAGAAGCUUCAUUAGGUAAGAGGUCACCAGCACUGUGGUGUGCUUCCUGGCUGUGGUCCUCCGUCGUCUCAUCCGUGUUAACUCUGCGUUACCUCUGCUACUUCCCAGAUCCACAUUUAGUUCUUGCCUGGUGUAUCUUUAAAACUUUUAAGUUCUUGUAAACCUUCCCACAAUGACACUUAGUUUCUGUCGUUGUUCCAGUCAAAGUCAGUUGGAUUAGGCGAGUUAUCCGUUGUCCUGCUCAAUUGGUCGCUCAUCCUACCCUCUCUCGGAAGACCCUUAGGAUAUUGCUCAUUAUUCUGUGUUGUAGCUUGGUAUGGUGUUCCUUCGCAGGAACAGUGUGUAGGGGUGCCAACCCUUCACACCCUUGUUUCAGUCUUCCCUGAAUGUCAUCUGUCUCUCCUGACGUCACCAUUCUAUUAAUGGUUGUCAGACAGUCUUUUCCAGCAGUCACUGGUAGAUCCAGGUUACAAAUUACUUACAUACAGUAGUGGUGAAAUUACUGCAAACACCAUCAAUGUCCUCAGCCGAGGCCAUCUGUCAUCAUGUUUCGGCCCCUAGCUCGGAACACUCUCAGGAAAAAGGGGGGGGGGGUCCACAGAGGUGAUCAAUCAUUGUGCAUUGGUGGUGGGUUUCAAGUUACUAUUGUCUCUCUUCGUCCAUAUUAAGCAAAACACUUUGCAGAAUUGGUCAACAACUGUUCAAUAAUGUAGUCUUUUUAUUGUACAUUUGAAUUAACUUUUUGUAUUGAAAAAUAUCUUCCUUGUAACAGUCAUGUUUGUCUGUUAACAAAUUUACACAGUGAAAUAUUAAAGUUAAAUAUAGUUGGUCAUUACGAUAAUAUUCCGAGAUAAAAUAUUUAAUGUUAAUGUUGUAAAUGUGUGUUAUUUCAGAUGAAUACCAUUUUGUUCUUGUUUGUCCAGCUUAUGGACCUGUACCAACAUUUUUUUCGUCAAAGUUUUAUUGUCCUUGGCCAAUUAAUUACAAACUUUUGUGUGUACCACAAGCGUCUUAUAAGUCUCUUACUAUCAACUUGUGUAAAUAUGUAAAAAAAAAAAUAAUGCACGGAAUAUUCGAUCAAACAUAGUCUCAUAAUUGUAUAUGUCAGUGUAUUAUAUAUACUAUUGUUCUAUGUUGUUAAUUCAUGUUUUAUUGUAUUUUUAAUAUCUGUUGUAGCAUGAUUAUGCUAUUGCAAUAAAGAUCCAUU